UCCCCGAUAGCUCAAUCGGUAGAGCAGAGAGCUGUUAACUCUAAGGUUCCUAGUUCGAGUCUAGGUCGGGGAGCCA
This 76-nucleotide transfer RNA is filed under the name Chloroflexota bacterium. RNAcentral's name for it is "Chloroflexi bacterium tRNA-Asn". It matches the Rfam family "tRNA". From Rfam's summary of the family: Transfer RNA (tRNA) molecules are approximately 80 nucleotides in length. Their secondary structure includes four short double-helical elements and three loops (D, anti-codon, and T loops). Further hydrogen bonds mediate the characteristic L-shaped molecular structure. tRNAs have two regions of fundamental functional importance: the anti-codon, which is responsible for specific mRNA codon recognition, and the 3' end, to which the tRNAs corresponding amino acid is attached (by aminoacyl-tRNA synthetases). tRNAs cope with the degeneracy of the genetic code in two manners: having more than one tRNA (with a specific anti-codon) for a particular amino acid; and 'wobble' base-pairing, i.e. permitting non-standard base-pairing at the 3rd anti-codon position. The record is from RNAcentral. RNAcentral also lists the same sequence under 1 other name. Lineage: Bacteria; Bacillati; Chloroflexota.